CCGGGGCGCCUGGAGGGGGUUCGGAGGAGGCAGGGCGAGAGGGAGGACUUGGUGACCAGGUGCGCGUGGGGAGACGUCAGACCGUUAGAGCCUUGCAGGUGCCGGACUGCGAAUACAUCACCCGGGGCAAUUAAAAAUCUCCGGGGCUUGGCAAGAUCAGAUGGUUGGGUGCAGAUUUCUCUCUCAAGGCUGCGCCGGAUCUUAGUUGCAGCACGCCGGAUCUUCGUUGCAGAACGCAGGAUCCUUUAGUUGCGGCAUGCAGACUCUUAGUUGCGGCAUACAUGCGGGAUCUAGUUCCCGACCAGGGAUCAAACCUGGGACCCCUGCAUUGGGAGCGUGGAGUCUUACCCACUGGACCACCAGGGAAGUCCCCAGCAGUCUGACUUCUGUUUCCUGUAAAGCAUCAGAAACAUUGUUCAGAUAAUUCAGCAAAGGAGGAGUCCCUCAGAAACAUGGGGCCUUGGAAAACUCAUCUCACCCCUCUGGGUCUCAGUUUC
Molecule: long non-coding RNA, 497 nt
Organism: Balaenoptera acutorostrata (minke whale)
Lineage: Eukaryota; Metazoa; Chordata; Mammalia; Artiodactyla; Balaenopteridae
Exons: 3
Source: RefSeq, a predicted model, not a curated record